GCUGAAGAACGUAGCGAAAUGCGAUACGUAAUGUGAAUUGCAGAAUUCAGUGAAUCAUCGAGUCUUUGAACGCACAUUGCGCCCUCUGGUAUUCCGGAGGGCAUGCCUGUCCGAGCGUCAUUGCUGCCCUCAAGCACGGCUUGUGUGUUGGGCCCCGCCCCCCGAUCCCGGGGGGCGGGCCCGAAAGGCAGCGGCGGCACCGCGUCCGGUCCUCGAGCGUAUGGGGCUUUGUCACCCGCUCUGUAGGCCCGGCCGGCGCCUGCCGAUCAACCAACCUUUUUUCCAGGUUGACCUCGGAUCAGGUAGGGAUACCCGCUGAACUUAAGCAUAUCAAUAAGCGGAGGA
Molecule: unclassified non-coding RNA, 345 nt
Filed under: soil metagenome
Description: partial contains 5.8S ribosomal RNA, internal transcribed spacer 2, and large subunit ribosomal RNA
Rfam family: 5.8S ribosomal RNA (bases 3-120)
Source: RNAcentral